Molecule: ribosomal RNA, 1373 nt
Filed under: uncultured organism
Description: bacterial SSU rRNA
Rfam family: Bacterial small subunit ribosomal RNA
Source: RNAcentral
AGUGGCGCACGGGUGAGUAACGCGUAGGUAAGCUACCAUUAGGUUAGGGAUAGCCCGUACGAAAGUAGGAUUAAUACCUUUUAUACUUGUUAUACUUAAGUAUAAUAAGGAAAGGCUUUUGCCGCCUUUUGAUGUGCCUGCGUUGGAUUAGCUUGUUGGUGGGGUAACGGCUCACCAAGGCGACGAUCUAUAGCCGAGCUGAGAGGCUGAUCGGCCACAUUGGAACUGAGACACGGUCCAGACUCCUACGGGAGGCAGCAGCUAAGAAUCUUCCGCAAUAGACGAAAGUCUGACGGAGCGACGCCGCGUGAAUGAUGAAGGCCCUUCGGGUUGUAAAGUUCUUUUAUAGGGGAAGAAAGUUUGGUGUAGUCCAAUCUGACGGUACCCUCUGAAUAAGGUCCGGCUAACUACGUGCCAGCAGCCGCGGUAAUACGUAGGGACCUAGCGUUGUUCGGAAUUAUUGGGCGUAAAGGGUACGUAGGCGGCUUAGUAAGUCGGAUGUGAAAGUCUCGGGCUCAACCUGAGGAUUGCGUCCGAUACUGCUGAGCUAGAGUUAUGGAGAGGAAGGCGGAAUUCCUGGUGUAGGGGUGAAAUCUAUAGAUAUCAGGAAGAACAUCGGUUGCGAAGGCUGCCUUCUGGACAUAAACUGACGCUGAUGUACGAAAGUUAGGGUAGCAAACAGGAUUAGAGACCCUGGUAGUCCUAACCGUAAACGUUGUAUACUAGGUGGUGGGAGUAAUGAUCCUUUCACUGCCGGAGCUAACGCAUUAAGUAUACCGCCUGGGGAGUAUGCCGGCAACGGUGAAACUCAAAGGAAUUGACGGGGGCCCGCACAAGCAGUGGAGCAUGUUGUUUAAUUCGAUGAUACGCGAGUAACCUUACCAGGUCUUGACAUAUACUUGAAUGGCAUGGAAACAUGUCAGCUUUUCGGAGCAGGUAUACAGGUGCUGCAUGGUUGUCGUCAGCUCGUGCCGUGAGGUGUUGGGUUAAGUCCCGCAACGAGCGCAACCCUUAUUCUUUGUUGCUAACGUGUAAUGGCGAGCACUCUAAGGAGACUGCCGGUGACAAACCGGAGGAAGGUGGGGAUGACGUCAAAUCAUCACGGCCCUUACGACCUGGGCUACAAACGUGCUACAAUGGGCAGUACAAAGAGUAGCGAUACCGCGAGGUGGGGCCAAUCUCAAAAAGCUGUCCUCAGUUCGGAUUGGAGUCUGAAACCCGACUCCAUGAAGCUGGAAUUGCUAGUAAUCGCACAUCAUCAUGGUGCGCGUGAAUACGUUCCCGGGCCUUGUACACACCGCCCGUCACAUCACCCGAAUUGACUAUACCCGAAGUAACCGAGCUAACCCGUAAGGGAGGCAGGUUCCUAAGGU